UUUAUACGUCGAAUUUUGGUCGCAUCGAAUGCAAUUAAGACAAUAAAUAAUAAGACGAUGAACCUCAUUAUAAGCUUCAUUAUCUAUUGUUUGAAUUGCAUUCGACGCGACCAAAAUUUGGCGUAUAAA
This is a non-coding RNA of Paramuricea clavata, 129 nucleotides long. The record is from the annotation of a GenBank genome assembly. NCBI's taxonomy places the organism in Eukaryota, Metazoa, Cnidaria, Anthozoa, Malacalcyonacea, Plexauridae.